UCUCUUUUCGGAGUUACUGUCUUUUUGUUUUAUGUAUGUAUGUGGUAUGUAUGUAAUUUAAAUAAAUGCUUAAAUUGUAAAAGGCCAAAACAAAAUUGAUUUUACUCUAGGGUUCCCUAUUUGUUUUGUACAGUUGAGGCUUGUCAAGUGACAACCACGUACCUGUUCUGCUGACAUUCUGCAGAAUAGUUAAUAGCUUUAUUAUUAAUAUAUUAUCCCUAAUAGUUGGCAUAAAACAGGCUUAAAAGAUACAUUCUCUGUCUACACCAUACACAUUUGAAGUUAUUCAUUUUUACACAACAGCAGGCUUAGCAAUGCUAUCAUUAUAAUGGCAUCCAAUGGCCAGUGGUCAAUUUCUGGUGGGGAAGUUUCCUAUGGUUUUUGCUGUAUAUAUUAUUUAUUAUACAGUGGUUUACCAUGUUACAAGAUGUUUAAUGUGAAUGAUGAUGUGUUCAUGCUUUUAUGGAUGGCUUUUUUAAGAUAGUAAUUUUAAGUUUACAACUUGUUUUAUAUUGCUAAUAAAAUAUAUAUCAUUUUAGGGCUCACCAAGAAGGAGUCGCAGUCCAUCGCGUACAUUGAGCCCAAGAAGUAGAAGUCGUUCGCCAAGCCCAACCAGGAGAAAUAAUGGUGGUGUCACCCCAAGCAUUAUGUCUGGUUCCUAUCUAUCCUAGUGCCUUUCUGGCCAGGUGAACAUCCAUUAAUGGUGAUGGCAGAAUACGUACAUACUGUACAUGCAAGGAAAAGUGCUGGAUUUAUUAUAAACAUGAAUGUAAUACUGUAGCUGAUUUAGAAA
Long non-coding RNA from Anneissia japonica, 793 nucleotides. RefSeq lists it as uncharacterized. NCBI's taxonomy places the organism in Eukaryota, Metazoa, Echinodermata, Crinoidea, Comatulida, Comatulidae. The record is from RefSeq and is a predicted model, not a curated record. The transcript has 3 exons.